RNAcentral lists this ribosomal RNA (301 nucleotides) under uncultured bacterium. Its description in RNAcentral is "partial 16S ribosomal RNA". It matches the Rfam family "Bacterial small subunit ribosomal RNA", at positions 509 to 809 of the family's 1533-position model. The record is from RNAcentral.
CAGUCGCCACGGUAAUACGUAGGGUGCAAGCGUUAAUCGGAAUUACUGGGCGUAAAGCGUGCGCAGGCGGUUAUAUAAGACAGAUGUGAAAUCCCCGGGCUCAACCUGGGAACUGCAUUUGUGACUGUAUAGCUAGAGUACGGCAGAGGGGGAUGGAAUUCCGCGUGUAGCAGUGAAAUGCGUAGAUAUGCGGAGGAACACCGAUGGCGAAGGCAAUCCCCUGGGCCUGUACUGACGCUCAUGAACGAAAGCGUGGGGAGCAAACAGGAUUAGAUACCCCCGUAGUCCCUGUCUCUUAUAA